Molecule: ribosomal RNA, 310 nt
Filed under: Abramites sp.
Lineage: Eukaryota; Metazoa; Chordata; Actinopteri; Characiformes; Anostomidae
Description: partial small subunit ribosomal RNA
Rfam family: Bacterial small subunit ribosomal RNA
Source: RNAcentral
UCCGCCAGGGGACUACGAGCGCCAGCUUAAAACCCAAAGGACUUGACGGUGUCUCAGACCCACCUAGAGGAGCCUGUUCUAGAACCGAUAACCCCCGUUAAACCUCACCACCCCUUGCUUUUCCAGCCUAUAUACCGCCGUCGCAAGCUUACCCUGUGAAGGUUAUACAGUAAGCAAAAUGGGUAAAACCCAGAACGUCAGGUCGAGGUGUAGCUUACGAGGUGGAAAGAAAUGGGCUACAUUUUCUUUAACAGAAUAAUACGAAUAACACCAUGAAACUGGUGUUUGAAGGUGGAUUUAGUAGUAAAAA